This 395-nucleotide ribosomal RNA is filed under the name uncultured bacterium. RNAcentral describes it as "bacterial SSU rRNA". It matches the Rfam family "Bacterial small subunit ribosomal RNA", at positions 28 to 453 of the family's 1533-position model. The record is from RNAcentral.
GACGAACGCUGGCGGCAUGCCUAACACAUGCAAGUCUAGGGGUAGCAAUACCACUGGCGCACGGGUGAGUAACACGUAGGUUAUCUGCCCCCAUCACAGACAUAACCCCGGGAAACCGGGGCUAAUAUCUGAUGAGGUCGCGAGAUCAAAGCUUCGGCGGAUGGGGAUGAGCCUGCGGCUGAUUAGCUAGUUGGUGAGGUAAUGGCUCACCAAGGCGACGAUCAGUAGCUGGUCUGAGAGGACGAACAGCCACACUGGAACUGAGACACGGUCCAGACUCCUACGGGAGCAGCAGUGAGGAAUAUUGGUCAAUGGGAGCAAUCCUGAACCAGCAAUGCCGCGUGUGGGAUGACAGGGCUUCGCCUUGUAAACCACUGUCGGACGGGACGAAAGGA